GCAACGCGAAGAACCUUACCAGGCCUUGACAUGCAGAGAACUUUCCAGAGAUGGAUUGGUGGCCUUCGGGAACUCUGACACAGGUGCUGCAUGGCUGUCGUCAGCUCGUGUCGUGAGAUGUUGGGUUAAGUCCCGUAACGAGCGCAACCCUUGUCCUUAGUUACCAUCACGUUAUGGUGGGCACUCUAAGGAGACUGCCGGUGACAAACCGGAGGAAGGUGGGGAUGACGUCAAGCCAUCAUGGCCCUUACGGCCUGGGCUACACACGUGCUACAAUGGUCGGUACAAAGGGUUGCCAAGCCGCGAGGUGGAGCUAAUCCCAUAAAACCGAUCGUAGUCCGGAUCGCAGUCUGCAACUCGACUGCGUGAAGUCGGAAUCGCUAGUAAUCGUGAAUCAGAAUGUCACGGUGAAUACGUUCCCGGGCCUU
This 428-nucleotide ribosomal RNA is filed under the name uncultured Pseudomonas sp. RNAcentral describes it as "bacterial SSU rRNA". It matches the Rfam family "Bacterial small subunit ribosomal RNA", at positions 956 to 1382 of the family's 1533-position model. The record is from RNAcentral. Lineage: Bacteria; Pseudomonadati; Pseudomonadota; Gammaproteobacteria; Pseudomonadales; Pseudomonadaceae.